RNAcentral lists this long non-coding RNA (276 nucleotides) under Marmota monax (woodchuck). Lineage: Eukaryota; Metazoa; Chordata; Mammalia; Rodentia; Sciuridae. The record is from RNAcentral.
GGCCCGCUAGGUCGGUCUCGCCCCGACACGGUCGCCAUGCCCAAGAGAGGAAAGCGACUCAAGUUCCGGGCCCACGACGCCUGUUCUGGUCGAGUGACCGUGGCGGAUUAUGCCAACUCGGAUCCGGCAGUCGUGAAGUCAGGACGGGUCAAGAAAGCCGUCGCCAACGCUGUUCAGCAGGAAGUAAAAUCUCUUUGUGGUUUGGAAGCCUCCCAGCUUCCUGCAGAGGAAGCUCUUUCUGGGGUUGGUGAGUCCUGUGACAUCAUCGACAGCAGU